UGCCAGCAGCCGCGGUAAUACGGAGGGUGCGAGCGUUAAUCGGAAUUACUGGGCGUAAAGCGCGCGUAGGUGGUUAUAUAAGCUAGAUGUGAAAGCCCUGGGCUCAACCUGGGAACUGCAUCCGAUACUGGCAGACUAGAGUGCGGGAGAGGGAGGUAGAAUUCCAUGUGUAGCGGUGAAAUGCGUAGAUAUGUGGAGGAAUACCAGUGGCGAAGGCGGCCUCCUGGCUCGACACUGACACUGAGGUGCGAAAGCGUGGGGAGCAAACAGGAUUAGAUA
RNAcentral lists this ribosomal RNA (279 nucleotides) under uncultured bacterium. RNAcentral describes it as "partial 16S ribosomal RNA". It matches the Rfam family "Bacterial small subunit ribosomal RNA", at positions 506 to 784 of the family's 1533-position model. The record is from RNAcentral.